GACGAACGCUGGCGGCGUGCUUAACACAUGCAAGUCGAACGGAAAGGCCCUGCUUUUGUGGGGUGCUCGAGUGGCGAACGGGUGAGUAACACGUGAGUAACCUGCCCUUGACUUUGGGAUAACUUCAGGAAACUGGGGCUAAUACCGGAUAGGAGCUCCUGCUGCAUGGCGGGGGUUGGAAAGUUUCGGCGGUUGGGGAUGGACUCGCGGCUUAUCAGCUUGUUGGUGGGGUAGUGGCUUACCAAGGCUUUGACGGGUAGCCGGCCUGAGAGGGUGACCGGCCACAUUGGGACUGAGAUACGGCCCAGAGUCCUACGGGAGGCAGCAGUGGGGAAUAUUGCACAAUGGGCGGAAGCCUGAUGCAGCAACGCCGCGUGCGGGAUGACGGCCUUCGGGUUGUAAACCGCUUUCGCCUGUGACGAAGCGUGAGUGACGGUAAUGGGUAAAGAAGCACCGGCUAACUACGUG
This 468-nucleotide ribosomal RNA is filed under the name uncultured bacterium. RNAcentral's name for it is "partial 16S ribosomal RNA". It matches the Rfam family "Bacterial small subunit ribosomal RNA", at positions 28 to 507 of the family's 1533-position model. The record is from RNAcentral.